This 253-nucleotide ribosomal RNA is filed under the name uncultured bacterium. Its description in RNAcentral is "partial 16S ribosomal RNA". It matches the Rfam family "Bacterial small subunit ribosomal RNA", at positions 524 to 776 of the family's 1533-position model. The record is from RNAcentral.
UACGUAGGGAGCAAGCGUUGUUCGGAAUCAUUGGGCGUAAAGAGCGCGUAGGCGGUUUGGUAAGUCCGAUGUGAAAUCCCAGAGCUUAACUCUGGAACUGCAUUGGAAACUGCCAGGCUUGAGUGCGGGAGAGGUGAGUGGAAUUCCCAGUGUAGAGGUGAAAUUCGUAGAUAUUGGGAGGAACACCGGUGGCGAAGGCGGCUCACUGGACCGCAACUGACGCUGAGGCGCGAAAGCUCGGGGAGCAAACGGG